UCAAACCAUGUGCGGUGAUAUUCAGCCA
RNAcentral lists this small RNA (28 nucleotides) under Bombyx mori (domestic silkworm). RNAcentral describes it as "ovarian small RNA-24405". The record is from RNAcentral. Lineage: Eukaryota; Metazoa; Arthropoda; Insecta; Lepidoptera; Bombycidae.